GAGAACACCAGGGCUCACUGUGUUACGGCCUUUUCAUUCUCCAGCACAGGGUUUUGUGGCUGCCUUCUCACUUAGAAAGAUAAGGUGAGCAAAAUAGGGGGUCAGGUAUGCCCCUUGCUCUGUCCAGGUGGGGCGGACUGAAGGUUGUCAAUUUCAGGAAGACUUGGAGCAAAUAAAGCCCGGGUUCAUUUCUAUUGUCAGCCUCUAGCUACACUUUCUGCAUCCCAAUAAUCCAAGCUAAAAGUCACAUAAUUCCUAUCUGGACUUUCUUUAAGAUCAUACCGUCUCUGCAGUGUACAGAUCUCCUGAGCUCCUAGACAAGGCUGGUGCAUAUUUCAUCUAUAGAAUUCUCUAGAGCACCAGAUUAUCCUGAAUGAUAUCAGAUCUUGAUUGGUACAAACUUGUCUUUUAGAGAUCUCACUGUCCAGCUAACUUUUUCAGUCAUAUCGUUGCAGUGUGUAAAUGUUCCUAUAAAUGACUGCUUGAAGCAUUUCCAAAAAAUAACUAAAAUUUUUAUUUUUUAAUUGGUUCUUUUUAGUUAUAUAUGAGAGUAGAAUCCAUUUUGAUGAAAAUAAUACAAGCAUGGAAUGUUAACUUAUUCUAAUUAGGACCCCAUUCUUGUGGGUGGACACAAUGGUGGGAUUCACUUAGGUAUUUUCAUAUGUGUACAUAGAAAGAUAUGUUAGACUUAUUCUACUGUCUUUCCUAUUCCUAUCCCCCUUCCCUUCCCUUCAUUCCCCUUUGUCUAAUCUACUGAAUUUCUAUUCUCACCUCCAGCUUUACUGUGGUUUAGCUUCCACGUAUCAGCCAAAGCAUUCAACUUUUGGUUAAAAUUUUUAUUUUAAAAUAUAGAAUACAGAAUUUAAUUAAUUUCCCCAAUUGAAUGCAUUAAAAUAAUUAAAUGAUUUUUGUAUAACAGUUUUACUGAAGUGUUAUUGACAUACAUUAGUGCCACAUUUGAAGUUUACAAUCUGACAGGUUUUGAUGUAUCCAAAAUCAUCAACACAGUCAAGACAAUGAGUGACCAUUGAAAGUUACCUCUUGCCCCUUGGUAAUCUUUCCUUCUUGUUCUCUCUCCCCCCUUCAAAACUUUCUCCCACCAUCCUUAGACAACCACUGAUCUGCUUUCUAUCAUUAUUAAUUGGUUUGUAUUUUUAGAAUGUUGUUUAAAUAGAAUUUUAUAGUAUGUCCUCUUUUUAGGUUGGGGUGGGAGGAGUCUGAGUUCUUUAAUUCAGCAUGAGUAUUUUGAUAUUCAUGCUGCCUUUAUAAAUAGCUCAUUUCUUUUUUAUUGCAGAUUAGUGUUCAAGAUUAUGAAUAUACCAAAAAUAUAUAUCCAUUUGCCUGUUUGGGUUGUUUCCCAUUUUGUGACUACUACAAAUAAAUGUCCUAUGAGCAAUCAUUUCCAAGUCUUUGUAUGAGCAAUCAUUUUUAAGUCUUUGUUUGGGCAUAUUCCAUUUUCCCCCCCUGGAUAAAUAUAUAAGAAUGGAUGGCCAUGUCAAGUGUUAGCUGUGUAUUUAAAUAUUUAAGAUAUUUCCCUUUUACAUUUCCAUCAACAGUGUUUGAGAUUUCCAGUUGCUCAACGUCAUUGCCAACAGUAUGGUCCAGCUAAUCUCUUUCACUUUAGCCAUUCUUACAGGGUAAUAUGGUAUCUCAUUAUGGUUUUCGUUUGCAUUUCCCUCUUCACUAAUCAUGUUGAACAGAUGUUCCUGUUACUAUUUGUCAUUCAUACCACUUCUUUGGUAAAGCAUCUGAUCACAUUUUUUGACCAUUUUUAAAAUUGAGUGUUUGUUUGCAUAUUAUAGUUUUGAGUGUGCUUUACAUAGAAAUUAUGGAUAUGAGUCUUUUAUCAGAUAUAUGAUUUAUAAAUAUUUUCUUCCGUGCAGUAAUUUGUCUUUUUACUCUCCUAAAGUGUUUUAGAAAGAGCAGAAGUUUUCAAUUUUGAGAAGCCAAAUUUGAUGUUUUAGUGGACUAUAAUUUGGGUGGUAUAGCUAAAGAAAGCUUUGCUUAGCUCUUCAUCACAAAGAUUUUCCUCCUAUGGUUUCUUCUAGAAGCUUUAUAAUUGUAGGUUCAUUAAUUAGGUCUAGGAUUCAUUUUGAGUCAAUUUUUUGAUGGUGUGAAAUAUAAAUUGUAGUUUAUUUUUUGCAUAUGAAUAUCUAAUUUGUCUGGCACCAUAUGCUGAAAAAAAUUAUAUCCAGGGGACUGUUUGUGUACUUUUGUUGAAAACCAAUUGACCAUUUAUGUGUGAAUCUAUUCCUGGACUCUCUAUUUUGUUUAAUUACUCUAUUCAUUUUUUCUUAAGCCAGUACCACAUGUGCUGAUUUCUGGCAACUUUAAAGUUAGAUAGUGUGAAUUCUUUUCAAGAUUGUUUUGGCUAUUCUAGGUCCUUUGCAAUUCUAUACAAAUAAUGUAAUUUGUCUGUUAGUUCUUCAAAAGCAGUGUGCUAGAAUUUUGAUGAGGGUUGUAUUAAAUCUAUAAAUGAAUUUGGGCAGUGAUAUCAUAAUAAUAUUGAUUCCUUCAACCAUGAAAACAGUAUAACUCUCCAUUUACUUAUUUUGGUAUUCUCUAAUUUCUCUUGUAAGGGUAAAAGAAAUUGAAGUUAAAGUGUAAAAGUUAAAGUGUAAAAGACCGGGCAUUGUAAAGUUUCUAAGCUGCAAGGCCUGAGUUAAAAUGUAAAGGACUAGGUAUUGUUAAGUUCCUAUGCUACAUGCAAAACCUGAAAUUCCUGUAGCUGUUAAGACAAUGCUUGGAACCGCCCAGUAAAUAUUUCCCCUGACCGCCUGGUUGUUUAAUAACUUAAGGGCUCUGUGUGGUCUUGCAUGUAGGCAUCGCAGGGCCUAAACCAAUCAGUUUGAAUGUGUACCCAGCUUUAGAACUGACCUAUCACCCCCGCCCGACCUGUUCCCGCCAAUGUAUGUACUAAUCAAGUCUAAGAAUUGUUGUUUGACUUUCCCGCGGUGUAUGAUGAUUUGUUAAAGGAGACUGUGAUGUAUGUAAAGUCCCGCCCUCCCCAAAAAAGUGUACUUAAGCAGUGCUCAGCCCCUGCUCUGGGCUCUGGGCUGCUCUCUUUUCUCGAGUGGGCACGGAGCCCCAGCAUGCUGGAAUCUCAAUAAACCCCUUUUGCUGUUGCAUGAGUCGCGGUCCCUUGGUGGUCUCUUCCUCCCACGUUCGCCGGACCCUUACAUUUGGUGCGUUGGCCGGGAACAGCGCAUCGCCGGACAAGGAGACCCCAACGGACUCCUUUAGGGGGUAAGUAAGGCGCCUCUUCUUCUUCUUCCUCUUCUUCUCCUCCUUGUUUUUUCCUUUGCGAUCGCUCAGAGCUUUUUGGUUCAGGUUUGGUUUUUGGCUUGGAUUGGUUGGUUGGGUUGGCAGCGUGGCUGCCGGCCGAGAGCGUAAGUUCUCCCUGGCGGUGGUGGACAGACGUGUCCUGAAGCCACAGGCCACUCCUCCUAAGGGACGCCUUGGAGGAUUCAGGGAGGGACGAAAGUGCCCUCAGUUGGUAGAGGGACAAAAGUGCCCUCGUGUGUACUCUGCUGCCAACCCGUUUGGUUUCGCCGGCAAUUCUUUCUCUCAGAUUGGAUUCACAGUCUGUCUUUAAUCUUUGCCUCUAAACUUGUGUUACACGUUUACUGUGUGUGUCCGUGUUUGUGUCACUUUUGUCUUGUCUCUGUUUUUGUUUGAGUAACUCUCAUUGUGAGACAAAGCCAUUCCACGCCUCUGUCCCUGACCCUUGAUCCCGCUCAAGGGCCCAGAAUCUUUCUUCUUCAGUGAAAUGCUGGACCUGGUAGGACCUCUGCGAAUUGCUUCCUGCACGGGCGGGGUCCGCGCAGUCCUCCGGGAGGAUUCAACUCUGCAGUACUGCGGAUCUUUCCCGCCCCCGUUCCUCCCGGCCCCUCCACCCAUCUGUCCUCUCCGCCCCUUCACAGUCUCCGAGAGGGGGGUGCUC
This 3943-nucleotide long non-coding RNA is filed under the name Marmota monax (woodchuck). Lineage: Eukaryota; Metazoa; Chordata; Mammalia; Rodentia; Sciuridae. The record is from RNAcentral.